GAUGAAGAACGUAGCGAAAUGCGAUAAGUAAUGUGAAUUGCAGAAUUCAGUGAAUCAUCGAAUCUUUGAACGCACAUUGCGCCCGCCAGUAUUCUGGCGGGCAUGCCUGUUCGAGCGUAAUUUCAACCAUCAAGCCCCCGGCUUGUGUUGGGGACCUGCGGCUGCCGCAGGCCCUGAAAUGCAGUGGCGGGCUCGCUGUCACUCCGAGCGUAGUAGUUACAUCUCGCUCUGGGCGUGCUGCGGGUUCCGGCCGUUAAAAGCCUUAUUUACCCAAGGUUGACCUCGGAUCAGGUAGGAAGACCCGCUGAACUUAAGCAUAUCAAUAAGCGGAGGA
Molecule: unclassified non-coding RNA, 334 nt
Filed under: soil metagenome
Description: partial contains 5.8S ribosomal RNA, internal transcribed spacer 2, and large subunit ribosomal RNA
Rfam family: 5.8S ribosomal RNA (bases 1-120)
Source: RNAcentral